AAUUCGCCUUCAUGAAGCUGGAAUUGCUAGUAAUGGCAGGUCAGCAUACUGCCGUGAAUAGUUCCCGGGGCCUUGUACACACCGCCCGUCACACCAUGAGAGUUGGAAAUACCUGAAGCCUGUGAGCUAACUUAAAGAGGCAGCAGUCGAAGGUAGAGCCAAUGAUUGGGGUGAAGUCGUAACAAGGUAAC
This 191-nucleotide ribosomal RNA is filed under the name uncultured bacterium. Its description in RNAcentral is "partial 16S ribosomal RNA". It matches the Rfam family "Bacterial small subunit ribosomal RNA", at positions 1309 to 1500 of the family's 1533-position model. The record is from RNAcentral.